Molecule: long non-coding RNA, 1060 nt
Filed under: Mus spicilegus (steppe mouse)
Lineage: Eukaryota; Metazoa; Chordata; Mammalia; Rodentia; Muridae
Description: lncRNA (ENSMSIG00000015337.1)
Source: RNAcentral
GUCUUACUUCUGUUAUCUCAUCUAAUCUCCAUAGCCGCCCAGUGCAGGAGGCACCAUUGCUGUUCUCAGAGAUGAAGAAAGUGAGGCUCCGAGGACUUGGGUAACGUGUCCAGGGCCACCCGGUUGGAAAGACUUCCAGUCUGGACCGGCUGUCAGCAGGCUUAGCCACAGCCAUUCUGACUAUGACACACAUACAUCAUUUUCUGAUAAGGAGUUUUGUAAGGCUCCUAUGAGUGUUUCCCUGUCACAUUCAGAAGACAGGCCAGGCUCCUUCCUGUGACUCACCGGUGCCACCUGCUCCACCCAAGCCUGCUCUGAUGAUCCUGGUGGCUCUGCACCCCUGUCUUCUAGACCUUCAGCUACCCAGACCUGUACCUUAACAGACUGUGAGCUUGGUGUUGACCAUGAUGGGAAUAUUAUUCUGCGAGAACGGACAAACAGAACACACUGGGGCUCUUCUUGUCCUCUGAGACCUGGUUACAUUCACUGGCUCCUGACUGUGAACUGUGAUACGAGGGAGGAUACAGAGGGUUUGCCUUCAGAAGGAGUCUCAGAGCCUUCCCUGACCACCAGCCAUGUGAGGCUACCGAGUCCUUGAACUGUGGUUGUUGAGAUGUGCCUGGAGUUGAAACACACCGGACUUCUAAGACUCAGUACAAUGUAAUGUAAAGUAGUUUGUUUGUUUGUUUUGUUUUUCAAGACAAGCUUUCUCUGUUUAGCCCUGGCUAUUCUGGAUCUCACUCUAUAGACCAGGCUGGCCUUGAACUCAUCUGCGUGUGCCACCACUGUAAAUUACUGACAACUAUUUAACAUUUAUUAAAUGGGCUGGUUUUUUUUUCAAUGUGAUAUAAACCAGAGUUACCUAGGAAGAAGAAACCUCAUCAGAGAAUUGUAUCCAUCAUAUAGGCUCACAGAUAUGCCUAUGGGGACGUUUACAAAAUAAUGAUAGAUGUGGGAGGGCCCAGCCCACUAUGGAUGGUGCCAGUGCUGGGCAUCAGGCCAGUGAGCAACAGUGAUUCCUUCCUCUGCUCUCUCACGAGUUCUAUCCCCGAAGCCCCUC